AGAGAUGCUUUGGUGCCUUCGGGAACUCUGAGACAGGUGCUGCAUGGCUGUCGUCAGCUCGUGUUGUGAAAUGUUGGGUUAAGUCCCGCAACGAGCGCAACCCUUAUCCUUUGUUGCCAGCGGUUCGGCCGGGAACUCAAAGGAGACUGCCAGUGAUAAACUGGAGGAAGGUGGGGAUGACGUCAAGUCAUCAUGGCCCUUACGAGUAGGGCUACACACGUGCUACAAUGGCGUAUACAAAGAGAAGCGACCUCGCGAGAGCAAGCGGACCUCAUAAAGUACGUCGUAGUCCGGAUUGGAGUCUGCAACUCGACUCCAUGAAGUCGGAAUCGCUAGUAAUCGUAGAUCAGAAUGCUACGGUGAAUACGUUCCCGGGCCUUGUACACACCGCCCGUCACACCAUGGGAGUGGGUUGCAAAAGAAGUAGGUAGCUUAACCUUCGGGAGGGCGCUUACCACUUUGUGAUUCAUGACUGGGGUGAAGUCGUAACAAGUUAAACCGUAA
Molecule: ribosomal RNA, 504 nt
Filed under: Serratia sp. ARE24_1
Lineage: Bacteria; Pseudomonadati; Pseudomonadota; Gammaproteobacteria; Enterobacterales; Yersiniaceae
Description: bacterial SSU rRNA
Rfam family: Bacterial small subunit ribosomal RNA
Source: RNAcentral